AUGUUCCAGUUUCGAUUGCAGGGCUUCGAGAUGCACCAUGAGGAUCUGACUGUUAGACUUGCGAAGCUAGCAACCUAUGAUCAGAUUAAGGCUGCCAUCAAGGAAGAGUCUGAGGGAAACGUCAAGGGCAUUUUGGGUUACGUUGAUGAGGACCUUGUUUCCACUGACUUCCAGGGUGACAACAGGUCCAGCAUCUUUGAUGCCAAGGCCGGGAUUGCCCUGAACGACAACUUUGUCAAGCUUGUCUCCUGGUACGACAAUGAGUGGGGAUACAGCACCCGCGUUGUCGACCUCAUCCGUCACAUGCACAGCACCAAGUAA
This 321-nucleotide ribosomal RNA is filed under the name Triticum aestivum (bread wheat). Its description in RNAcentral is "partial small subunit ribosomal RNA". The record is from RNAcentral. Lineage: Eukaryota; Viridiplantae; Streptophyta; Magnoliopsida; Poales; Poaceae.